RNAcentral lists this ribosomal RNA (460 nucleotides) under uncultured bacterium. Its description in RNAcentral is "partial 16S ribosomal RNA". It matches the Rfam family "Bacterial small subunit ribosomal RNA", at positions 338 to 795 of the family's 1533-position model. The record is from RNAcentral.
CCUACGGGAGGCAGCAGUGAGGAAUAUUGGUCAAUGGACGCAAGUCUGAACCAGCCAUGCCGCGUGCAGGAUGACGGCUCUAUGAGUUGUAAACUGCUUUUGUACGAGGGUAAACCCCGAUACGUGUAUCGGGUUGAAAGUAUCGUACGAAUAAGGAUCGGCUAACUCCGUGCCAGCAGCCGCGGUAAUACGGAGGAUCCGAGCGUUAUCCGGAUUUAUUGGGUUUAAAGGGUGCGUAGGCGGUUUGAUAAGUUAGAGGUGAAAGGUCGGGGCUCAACCCCGAAACUGCCUCUAAUACUGUUGGACUAUAGAAUAGUUGCGGUAGGCGGAAUGUAUGGUGUAGCGGUGAAAUGCUUAGAGAUCAUACAGAACACCGAUUGCGAAGGCAGCUUACCAAACUAUAUCUGACGUUGAGGCACGAAAGCGUGGGUAGCAAACAGGAUUAGAUACCCGAGUAGUC